Molecule: long non-coding RNA, 550 nt
Filed under: Brassica napus (rape)
Lineage: Eukaryota; Viridiplantae; Streptophyta; Magnoliopsida; Brassicales; Brassicaceae
Description: long non-coding RNA (BNAP_LNC024854)
Source: RNAcentral
ACUUAGUGUAUGUGGAUGGUUGAGAAGUUCGAACAUUUAUUUUGUAGCAGUUAAAUUUUUAAGAUAAGGCGAUAAGAUCAAGGAACAGACGACAUCACCAAGGACAUAUUCAUAAUCAUUCUACAGCUUACCUAGCUCGUAUGAUUAACAAAAAGAUAACAAAUUGUAUCAUUUCACUCCAACAUGAACCGGAAUCACCUCUGUCCCAUAGGGAAAAAUAGACAUUUAAAUCCCUAACUAUUUGAAAUCAGCAAGUUUAAUACCAAAGUAUUGCUUGCUCGAUUUUAUUUCCCAACUAAUAGUUUUGACUCAGUAAAUUAGUGACUAAAAAAGUUAGCUGUUAAAUUAUAACGACUCUCGUUAGUUUUAUAUCAAUAUCAUCGCCACUGAACAUGAAAAAUUCGAAAUCCCCAAACUCAAACUUUAACUUUGAGUGGAGACGAUUUCCGGUGACGGAAAAGAUAAUUUUUGGUGAUCUCCGUUUCCAUGAUUAGGCCGGAUCUGCUCUCUUAUCAUCGGAAAUCGAAUUUCUCAUCGCCGGAAAUCGUCU